UUUUUCGGUGCUGAGGUGCUUUGCUGGAGGAGCUGCCAGGGGGAGCUGCGCGGGGCAGGCCCGGGGUACCAGAGGCCCUUGCUUUAGCGGCGGCCCUGCGUGUGCCAGAGGCUUGCAGAGUGAUCUGAGCACGCCAAGAGAUUGCUGUCAAUGAAAGCACCAGAUUUCCGCGUAGGAGGGACUCGGGGGCAACGAUGCAAUUGGAAGUUCCAGGAACAAAGUCACUCACUGUCCUGUGGGUAGUCUCCGAGUCUCUGCGAGGACCCACUGCACGGCAGGAGCUAGUCUCAGACUGAGGUGAGUUCUCGGCAGCAGAAGGCACCACCGCACUCCCAAGGGCUAAAGGUUUACCCUGCACCUCUCCUACUGAAGCUUGCAGAGGGUUGGCAUGGCAGCCUUCUUCAUCAUAGGAGACUCUAAGACUGCUACUUUUGGCUCCUCUGGGUUGUGCAGCUUGAGUGGAAGAGCAGAUCCUCUCACAGCCUAGACCUCCUGGCCAGCCGUUUCUUGCCCUAGACUCCACUCCGAGUGGCAGUCUCCCAAGCUGUCUAAUAGGCGUAUGGGAGAAGUAUCAGCAAGUAUGCUACUUCUAAUGUCCCAGGUGGUGCACCCAGCACUGUGCCUCUUCCCUAGUGCAGCUGAAGGAAAGCUGCCACUGCCUGUGCCUUCCUUUACAAGGGUUGUCCUGGCAUGUGUCAGACCACUGGGUCCCCUAACAACCUUGCCAAUGUGCCAGUCCUCUGAAUGUUUCUGGGCUUUAGCCCCUGCCCUUGGCUUGCACGUGUCUUCUUCCUAGGACAUCCGGGGUGCUUGUGUCAUAUGCUGGUAGCAUAAUGUCAUCAACAGUGCACCAGUGUGCUGUGCAAACUAUCCCGAGACAGCCUGUAUGCAUGCAAAGUAUGCUCAAAAGUACCCAAGGCCGAGGCGUGGCAGCUCAUGCCUAUAAUUCCAGCACUUUGGGAGGCUGAGACUGGUGGAUCACUUAAGCCUAGGAGUUUGAGACUAGCCUGAGCAAAAUAGUGAGACCCUAUCUCAACUGAAAACAAAAAAAGAAAAAGAAAAAGAAAUUAGCUAGGUGUGGUGAUAUGCGCCUGUGGUCCCAGCUACUGGGAGGCUGAGGUGGGAGAAUUCAUUGAGCCCUGGAGGCUGAGGCUACAGUAAGCUGUGACUGCACUAUUGCACUCCAGCCUGGAUGACACAGCAAGACUCUGUCUCAAAAUAAAUAAAUUUAUUUAUUAAUAC
Homo sapiens (human) is the source of this 1242-nucleotide long non-coding RNA. RefSeq lists it as uncharacterized. The record is from RefSeq and is a predicted model, not a curated record. The transcript is spliced from 3 exons. Lineage: Eukaryota; Metazoa; Chordata; Mammalia; Primates; Hominidae.